ACUCUCCCAAAGCCGCUCGCUGGUGGUGGUCCUUGAGACGCGCUUCCCGGGGCUGGAGUUUUGCGGUUUCGUCGGCAUCCAGGGGUAAGAGGGCGCGGCAGGGCAGCACCGCACCUGACCGGAAGUUCAGGGAAGGUAAUCCUACAGUCUUUCAGAAAGUUUCCUCUCCCAAGGGACUCAAAGAAGCUAAUGUCGUUAGGAGCUCCUCCGACUUGCGCCAAAAGCGUCAUUCCACGUGGACCCGCUUAGUUUAAACGGGGGGUUGGGGGGGCGUAUGUUGCUGCUCUCUCUAAUAAAAUAUAUUUGGAUGGCAAGG
Molecule: long non-coding RNA, 316 nt
Filed under: Homo sapiens (human)
Lineage: Eukaryota; Metazoa; Chordata; Mammalia; Primates; Hominidae
Description: HSALNT0406278
Source: RNAcentral